AAUGUAUGACGCCGCUGACUUUUUGUUCAACGUUUGACCAUUCGUCUUAUUUAAAAAAAUUAUGUAAUUAUCAUUUAUUUUAUUGUGAUUUGAUUCUUCAUCAAAUGUUCUUUAAGCAUGACAUAAAUAUAUUCAUAUUUGCACAAAAAUUUUGAAUAAAACGAAUGGUCAAAUGUUGGUCGAAAAGUCAGCGGCGUCAUACAUU
This 205-nucleotide microRNA precursor is filed under the name Oryza glumipatula. RNAcentral's name for it is "MIR812 microRNA precursor family". It matches the Rfam family "MIR812 microRNA precursor family". Lineage: Eukaryota; Viridiplantae; Streptophyta; Magnoliopsida; Poales; Poaceae. The record is from Rfam by way of RNAcentral.